Molecule: non-coding RNA, 109 nt
Organism: Ailuropoda melanoleuca (giant panda)
Lineage: Eukaryota; Metazoa; Chordata; Mammalia; Carnivora; Ursidae
Source: Rfam
GUAUAUGGGCAUACCACCCUGAACGCGUCUCAUCUCAUCUGAUCUUGGAAGGUAAGCAGGUUGGGCCUGGUUAGUACUUGGAUGAGAGGAAACCAUGCUGCUGUAGUAA